Molecule: long non-coding RNA, 327 nt
Organism: Sapajus apella (tufted capuchin)
Lineage: Eukaryota; Metazoa; Chordata; Mammalia; Primates; Cebidae
Exons: 2
Source: RefSeq, a predicted model, not a curated record
GGUCAGCCAGAGGAGGUCAGUGGAAGGACCCGUUGGCACUGCUGGCCAGGUCUAGAGGUUAGAGGUUAAACCGCCUAAUCCUAACCACAGUCCUAUCAAUAGAUCACAAACACGGGAUGGAGGAAUUUUCCCCGGAAGGCACCGUUAUUGCUCAACUGCACAGGCCCCUACCUAGUCACCUCGCCCACGCUCUCAACCCUCUCACAUGUGCACCUCUUAGACUGUAAGCCUUUAAAAUGGCCAGGAUUUUCUUUGCCGGGGAGCUUGGUGAUUGAGGCUUCGGCCAGCCGCCGCUCUCAGCCGAAUAAAACUGCCACUUCCUUCCCC